GAUGAACGCUAGCGGCAGGCCUAAUACAUGCAAGCUGAACGGCAAGAUUUGUAGCAAUACGAGUCCUAGAGUAGCGUAAGGGUGCGUAACACGUAUGCAAUCUGCCCGCAACAGGAGGAUAGCUUAGCGAAAGUUGAGAUAAGACUCCAUAAGAUCACGAGAGGGCAUCUGAUUGUGAUUAAACUACAAGGGGUUGCGGAUGAGCAUGCGUCUGAUUAGUUAGUUGGCGGGGUAACGGCCCACCAAGACGAUGAUCAGUAGGGGAACGU
RNAcentral lists this ribosomal RNA (269 nucleotides) under uncultured bacterium. RNAcentral's name for it is "partial 16S ribosomal RNA". It matches the Rfam family "Bacterial small subunit ribosomal RNA", at positions 28 to 294 of the family's 1533-position model. The record is from RNAcentral.